AGAGCGAACGCUGGCGGCAGGCCUAACACAUGCAAGUCGAGCGCCCGUAGCAAUACGGGAGCGGCAGACGGGAUAGUAACACGUGGGAACGCGCCCUUCGGUUCGGAAUAACUCAGGGAAACUUGAGCUAAUACCGGAUACGCCCUUACGGGGAAAGAUUUAUUGCCGAAGGAACGGCCCGCGUCCGAUUAGCUAGUUGGUGAGGUAAUGGCUCACCAAGGCGACGAUCGGUAGCUGGUCUGAGAGGAUGACCAGCAUCACUGGGACUGAGACACGGCCCAGACUCCUACGGGAGGCAGCAGUGGGGAAUAUUGGACAAUGGGCGCAAGCCUGAUCCAGCCAUGCCGCGUGGAUGAUGAAGGCCUUAGGGUUGUAAAGUCCUUUUAAGGGGAAGAUAAUGACGGUACCCGUAGAAUAAGCCCGGCUAACUUCGCGCCAGCAGCCGC
Molecule: ribosomal RNA, 446 nt
Filed under: uncultured bacterium
Lineage: Bacteria
Description: SSU rRNA
Rfam family: Bacterial small subunit ribosomal RNA
Source: RNAcentral